GCAGAUAUAGCCAAGCAGUAAGGCAAACGGCUGCAACCCGUUGAUCCUGGGUGCAAUUCCCAGUAUCUGCU
RNAcentral lists this transfer RNA (71 nucleotides) under bacterium. RNAcentral describes it as "tRNA-Cys". It matches the Rfam family "tRNA". Rfam says of the family: Transfer RNA (tRNA) molecules are approximately 80 nucleotides in length. Their secondary structure includes four short double-helical elements and three loops (D, anti-codon, and T loops). The record is from RNAcentral.